GUCAAGACCUAUUUGCAAUUCUGUUAAAUCUAAGUAAUUGUUAGUGUUUCACCAUAGAAUUUAGGAUGUGAUAUGCCUUUCUUUCGCUGAUUAUACAAUAUAAGUAAAAACAGACUGAAACAGUUAGUAUGCUGGGGGUGCUACUGACUCCAGCUUGGCAGAAAAUCUUUCUGGAGAAGAAGGUGAUCUGGAGUGAGAGAGAAAUUAUUUCUACAUUUUGUAAUAUGAUAUAUGUGUGUUUAUUUUUAAUUCAAAUUGCUAUGCAUACAGAGAGUAUGCAGAAAAAUCAAUCAGAUCAAACUGUUUUACCUGGAGUUUGGUACUGGUUUUUACUUCUCUGAUUCUGUAUAAGAAAAAUAAAUACAAUUGAAUUUCC
This 376-nucleotide long non-coding RNA is filed under the name Bos taurus (domestic cattle). RNAcentral's name for it is "long non-coding RNA NONBTAT001327". The record is from RNAcentral. Lineage: Eukaryota; Metazoa; Chordata; Mammalia; Artiodactyla; Bovidae.